This is a non-coding RNA of Monodelphis domestica (gray short-tailed opossum), 22500 nucleotides long. Lineage: Eukaryota; Metazoa; Chordata; Mammalia; Didelphimorphia; Didelphidae. The record is from RefSeq and is a predicted model, not a curated record.
UCAGUAUCUACAAAUACAUUGUAACAGGAAUAUAUUCAAGUAGAAAAGAAGGGGAACUUCUAGAAUAACCAGUGUGUUAUACUUUCACAAAAUACAGAAAUUAUAUUGCACAGAAAAGUCUUCUAAGAUAUCAGUAAUGGGUCACAUAAUUUAAUUUAUGUCUUUAUUGUGCCACAGCGCCCAAGUGUCUGCAUAUACUGAUCAGAAAUAGAUAUGACAUCAUUAUAUGCUCCUUAUUGAUUAUCGGCCUCUAAUCUCUUAUUAGACCAUGAGAUCAAUGAAGGCACGGUUCCUGUCAUGUAUCCCCUAUAUCUAACACAGUUCUUGGCACAUAAUAGGUGCUUACUAAUACAAGUUUGUUCUUUGAGUACGAAAACUUCCCAUGUUCCCCAAGGCAUUGCAUAUAACAUGGUAAAUUAAUGUUUGAUAAAUGAAGGUUAAACCUGGAAGGGAGUAGAGAGAUAAUCUAAUCUAACCAGUUUAUUUUACAGAUGAGGAAACAACUCCAAAUACUUUAAACAAUUAGUUCAAGGUCAAAAUUUGCUAGUUAGUGGCAGACCUGGGACUCAAUCACAGAUUGCCUUAUUCCUAAAUCCAGUGUUCUUUUCCCUGACAUCUUAUCAAUAGUCACAAGAAUUAACGAGAUUUUAAGAUGUAGAAAGAGUACUAGUUUAACCCCCUUGAAUUACAGGUUUUACUGAUGCUCUUGGGUAAAGUUACUUGGCUGAAGUAGUAUCAGAGCUAGGACUUGAAUCCAAAUAUGACUAAACAGUCAGUAAAGGACUGAGAUGAAAUUGAAGAAUCUUGUUAUAUUAAAAUUUGCUGUUUUAGUUAAGAUAGAUUAUCCAUGAUAAAAUGGGGAGAAACAACUAUUAGAUUUCAAAGGAAACACUUUCUUUUUCUUAUUAGUCUUACCCAGCCCAUUCUUAAAAAUGGAGGCAGAGGUAGGAGGGAGAGACAAUCCUUUGUAAUUUCUAUUCUUUCCAUGUUCUUUAUUCAAACUUAGCUUUAUUCUCAUCUUCCUUUGAUUCUCUUUUGUAGUCAGUGGCCUCUCAGAACAAAAAAGGGAAAAAAAACUACAGAAGAUGAGAAAUAAAAGGGAAUUUCCUCAGCCAGUUUCAUAGAGAUCAAAAAAUCUUCUGGCCUGAAAGUGAAUAAACAGAAAGAAACAGGUUGUGGGGAGCUAAAGUGUAUUGGUGUCAGAGGUAAGGGAAGAGCGCCCAUAAGAAGCAACUAAAGGUGGAGAAUAACUAACCGACAAAGCUCUGGAGCUCAGUGAUCCUGUGUACAUAGUAGAUGAUGUCAAGCCCUUGCAGUUUCCUUAAGGUGAGGCAGUGAUGGGGAGCAAAGAGGACCAGCCACAGCACCGCAGGCGACUCUUCCCAGCUCUCACCCAUCUCUCUUGCAGAAAAGUAUCCGAAGACUUGCUAACUCAGAGGAUCUGUGCCAUUUCUUCUGGGCACAUGGAGCUCCCUGAGGGGUCCCUGAGAGGGCAGGGUCCUUGGGGCCUGAAUGACAUCACCGGGGAAUGAAUAGGAAGGGAAUCUGGAUCAUCUGGAACUGAGUUCUGAAUAAGGUAAGAGUCAAAAGGAACUAUGUCCAAAAGCUGUCUAUCCUUUGAAGGUAAGCAGAGAUUCUUACUGAGGGCCUGUGAAAGUUACUUUUGAGAUAUUUUCAUAACUUCUAAUGCAAUUGGUUUCCUUUAUAAUUCUAUACAUUUCAUUUUAUGCAUUAUAGAUACUAUUUGGAUGACUCCAUAGGACUCACUAAACUGACUAGGGGGUUCAUGACAUAAAAAUGCUUAAUAACUCCUGGCUGGGAAGUAUUGGCAAAAUUCUCUAUUUGUCCUGAUUCCAGAGAGGAAGAAAGCCUUUGAUUGCCCCGUUCUGUUCUUUCCAGGCCCCCAAACUGGAUCUUACUCCAGUGGUUGAGACCACUCAACCAGAACCAUGGCCAUCACCCUGAGAUCUUUACCAGCCUGUCCCCCCAAGGCUCUCUUAUACAACAGCCCUGGGCUUUGCAGCUCACCCUACUGGGAGGAUCUGCCAGGAUCCUAUUUCCUCAAGAUAACCUAGUUGCUGAAUGAGUGGCUGCCAACUUCUGGUUGGGUAUGCUUCCCAUUGAGGCAAAGCAUUAUUCCUCAGGAGCCAGGGCUGCUAGGCAGAGGACUAGCACAGUGGUAUCCCAGUCAGAGGCUACUCAAUUGUACAUAAGGACCAUUGUGGCCACAAGCUGAUUUAGAAAACUCCAUUUUAGUAUUAUCCAUGUACAACUGUAUUUUUCCUUACUUUGUUAAAAAUUUUCCCUCUAUGUUUUAAUCUGGUUUAGCUACACUAGAGGAUGCUGGGCUGCUGUUUGAUACCUCUAGGGUAAUAGGCGAGUAAGCCUCUGGUGUAGUGUCAGCCUCAUAUUGAGGGGCACUACUAUCUAAGGGAUCACAAAUGUACCAUUUCCUCUUAAUGCAAUGGCUUUCAUCUUGUUAGAGGACCACCUUGCAGUUUCCAGCUCAUAACACCCACGAAAAAUUCCAGUCAACUGUUUUAUAGACAAGAAUUCUCAAAAAUAUUAACCCCAUCCUAAGAGGCUGGGAGCAAGUGGCCUGCUUUAAGAUUUUCAAGGUGAUAUUUUAUUCUGGAUCCCAUAAGGACCCCAAGGAGGGGAAAUGUGGAUUCUCUGAAUUGAAAGAAAGCCUUUGGACUUCUUUUUUAAAACUGGGAAAGUGAGAGGGCAGCUGGGUAGCUCAGUGGAUUGAGAGCCAGGCCUAGAGAUGGGAGGUCCUAGGUUCAAAUUUGGCCUCAGACACUUCCCAGCUGUGUGACCCUGGGCAAGUCACUUGACCCCCAUUGCCUAGCCCUUAUUGCUCUUCUGCCUUGGAGCCAAUACACAGUAUUGACUCUAAGGUGGAAGGUAAGGGUUUAAAAAAAAAAACUGGGAAAGUGAGUGUCAGUAGCUUGUUUGGAACUGUGUCCAGAAUCAUUUGUGUUUUCCAUAUACACUGUAUUCCCUAAACUUGAUUGGGCAGCCUAUACCCAGGAUUUUCUUAAUAGUUGAAAUUCCACCCCUUGCGCCUAUGGGUCAUCAUCUAUUGAAUGGGGCCUGUUAAGAUUAAAAUUGCCAAACUGUUGCAGGUAAAAAUUAGUUUCUCUGCUAGAAGUAUUAUAUUUUAUGAGGUUUAUUAAAGGUUAAGAAUUAAAGAAAAUAUAGAAUUUCACAACCACUCACAUCUUGCCUGCUACCAUGAAGAAGCCUCCAGACCACAAUCUGCACAAAAAGAUCAAGAAUGAACUUUGGGUGUGGUUGAUUGAACAUUUAUUUGUAUGUAUACUUUCAUGCCAAAGGGGACUGCCCCCUAACUGGCCUUUUGUCAAUGCAUCCAGCAAUUAUUGGUUUUGUUUUUUUUUCCCUCUUAUCCUCAAAUUAUUGUAAUCUUUAGGUUGAUUAUGUUUUCGUAAUCCUUUGGGAAAAGCCUUUUUCCCCAGAGGAUCAUACAAAGAUUUGUAAAAAUGGAGAUUUGAACCCCGGACUUCAAUUCCCCAGAAGUCCUUGGACACUUCCCAGAAUGCUUUGUAAUCUCACUGAGAUCCUCACCUGGGCGAGAUCAAAAUUUCUAUUUAACUGGCUGUAAAAGCCUACUAAUCUCCUCUUCCUACUUUCGCUUCGGAUCUCCAUUUUUACAGGCCUCUGCCACUGUGGCUUUGUCUGGCCUUGCCAACAUUGGCGUCAGUGUAGUUUGGGCUAUUGUGGUAGCCUCAAAGUCUCUCCCUGCUCCAAUCCCAGCCUCCAUUCCCCACAAAAUCUAAGGUCUAAUCUUGUCACUGCCCUACUUAAAUUGGCUCCUUUUCACCUCCAGAAGGGUACUUAAAGCCUUUCAUAACCCGGCCUUCUCCUACCUCUCCAGCCUUCUUAGACCUCCUGGCUGCUACACAAACAAAACACUUCAUCUCUCAGCUCCAGGCGUUCUCCCUGGCUGGCUCCCAACUAAAAUCUCAUCUUCUACAGGAAGCCUUUCUUAACCUCUCUUACUUUCAGUACCUUUCCUCUGCCAGUUAUUUCCUAUUUAUCCUAUAGAUGGCCUAUACGUAUAUCUUGGUUUAUUGUCUUUCUCAUUAGGUCGGAAGCUCCUUAAAGGCAGGUACCGUCUUUUUGUACCCCCAGUGCUUAACUCAGUGCCUGGCAUAUAGGCCCUUCAUGUUUAUUGACAUUGGACAUGACAGUGCCCUCCGUCAGGGAGGCUUUUUCAGGUCCUUACUCACCAGAGUAACCAAUGGGUCGGAGAGUUAGGGGGAUAGCUACCCCAAGCAGGGGAAGACUUUUCCCAGGAAAAUGAGCAGAUUCCACUGGCCAUGGAGGUGGCUGAAGCAGGCACUGUGGAGUCUUAGAGCUGGGUCAGACAUAAGACAUAGCAAGAGUGUCCACUGUAUCCCAGACCACCCCCCAUCUUCCCGACUUCUGUCUUAUCAUGGGACCUGGAUGGCAGGAAGAGAGGGUGAGGCUGAUGAUUUUGUGUAACUGCCUCACUGAAAUCUGUUCCAUACACAAGUGUAGACAUGGCCCGCCCCAUGAUGCCACAGGUCCUCUCUGAAAAUGCAGGAGUGUGAGCGUGAGGAGGAAUUUGCAUAAUCCCGGGGACAUGGGGAAGGCAUUUUGAUCACAAUUCAUUUACUACAUCUUGCAUGCCGAGUAGAGAGACCCAUGUGCUUAGAAGCAGAAGAAGAGAGAGCUUGGGAAGCAGAGAGCACUUUAAAUACUAAAUUGUGUUCUUGCAUGCAGGUGAGGACUCAGAUGAGAUUAUAGGGAAUUCUGGGAAGUACAAGAACAAAGAAGCUUGAUACUAAGCUUGAUACUGGCACCACAUCACCACCAGAGGCAGGGGCCGAGGCUACCUGCUCUCCUACAGGGAUGCGGGCAGGAGCAAUGGAAGCAGUACUGUGCCUACUUUAUUCUGUGUCCUGUGGUCACUGUACGUAGCCGGCACUGCCGUGCCUUCUUAUGGGCCACACAGGAUUGUGGUAGUGGGAGUUGUUCUCUCUACGUGUACAGGGAGAGUGGCUUUUAGUUUCUUUAUUUUGGCAAUCUGGACUUUCUACAACUAUUAGCAAUAAUUAGGGAACGCCAUUCCUGAAGUUACCUUUAUCCUCUGCAGACUCACUGGACCAAUGAGGGCAGCAGGGCUCCCAGGAGCCCCAUCUCAGUAACACUGGGAAAGCUCAGCCAUGGCAGCCUGAUCAUGCUGUCUUUUGAACAAAUCCUGUAGAUUACUGUUCCCCGCCCUGGAGCAUGAGCUUCUUCUGAAGUAGAUAUGUGUGAGGAGAAAUGAAUGCCGCAGUCAUGGAAAAUGUUACUUAUAUUUGAGAUAUUUUCUCCCUUAAUCCUUUCCUCAGUAAAUGAUGCUAAAUUGACUGCUUAAAAAGCAAAUACAUUUUGUGUGCUAUUGUCUGCUAAAGUAAAGUUCAUCAUGCCUCAUUCUUUUAGGACAUACUCACCAAGGACUGGUCAAAAGCAUACAGGUUUCCACAUUUAGUCUAAGGCGUGCAAAGUAUGUGUCCUCUUAUAAUAAGUCAGAACAACAGUUAAGUGUCAUUCUAAGGAGUCAUCUGCUGCAAAGAGCUGAGAGACUUUUUUUUAAAAAAUAAUAUUUUAUUUGAUCAUUUCCAAGCAUUAUUCAUUAAAGACAAAGAUCAUUUUCUUUUCCUCCCUUCCCACCCCCCAUAGCCGACGCAUGAUUCCAUUGGGUAUCACAUGUGUUCUUGAUUCAAACCCAUUGCCAUGUUGUUAGUAUUUGCAUUAGAGUGUUCGUUUAGAGUCUCUCCUCUGUCAAGUCCCCUCAACCGCUGGAGUCAGGCAGUUGCUUUUCCUCGGUGUUUCUACUCCCUCAGUUUGUCCUCUGCUUAUGGAUAGUGUUUUUUCUCCUGGAUCCCUGCAAGUUGUUCAGGGACAUUACACCGCCACUAAUGGAGAAGUCCAUUACGUUCGAUUAUACCACAGUGUAUUAGUCUCUGUGUACAAUGUUCUCCUGGUUCUGCUCCUCUCGCUCUGCAUCACUUCCUGGAGGUCGUUCCAGUCUCCAUGGAAUUCCUCCACUUUAUUAUUCCUUUUAGCACAAUAGUAUUCCAUCACCAACAUAUACCACAAUUUGUCCAGCCAUUCCCCAAUUGAAGGGCAUCCCCUCGUUUUCCAGUUUUUGGCCACCACAAAGAGCGCAGCUAUGAAUAUUUUUGUACAAGUCUUUGUGUCCAUUAUCUCUUUGGGGUACAAACCCAGCAGUGCUAUGGCUGGAUCCAAGGGUAGAUAUUCUUUUAGCACCCUUUGGGCAUAGUUCCAAAUUGCCCUCCAGAAUGGUUGGAUCAAUUCACAACUCCACCAGCAAUGAAUUAAUGUCCCGACUUUGCCACAUCCCCUCCAGCAUUCACUACUUUCCUUUGCUAUCAUGUUAGCCAAUCUGCUAGGUGUGAGGUGGUACCAAAGAGCUGAGAGACUUGAAGAAAUUACCUGAGUGAAAUAAAACAUUGCCCUUUGAGAGAGAAUAUUCCCAGUUUCUGGAACUUGUUCAGAGGAGGCCAAACAUCUACAUUCCCCUAAAAUACUUUGGAUAAGGGGGAAGCUGGGUAGCUCAGUGGAUUGAGAGUCAGGCAUAGAGACAGGAGGUUCUAGGUUCAAAUCUGGCCUCAGACACUUCCCAGCUGUGUGACCCUGGACAAGUCACUUGACCCCCAUUGCCUAGCCCUUACCUCUCUUCUGCCUUGGAGCCAAUCCACAGUAUUGACUCUAAGAUGAAAGGUAAUGGUUAUAAUUUUAAAUAAUAAAAUAAAAUACUUUGGAUAGGGCAAGAACAUGGCUUUUUUACUGAGUCACAGGAAGCCACCUUUCAGAGGGAUGAGAGGAAAGCAGCUAAUGCCCUUUUCUUGACAGCACUAUUUUCCCAAAGUGUAUCUGUCCACACCGCCAGUUACCUUCUGGUGAUUCUUAGUGCUGGGUACAUCUGUAGAUGUUAAACACAAACACAAAAGGAUGUGCAGGUGAACAUGUUAAGUGAUGGGGCAAAGAGGACAGGAAAUGGAAGUAAGGAAAAUGAAAGAGCUCUUGCCUCUUGACAGAAAUGUGUUUGGUUUUUUGUUCAGUAUUUCUUAGCAGUUAUUAUUAUAAACUUGCCAAAAGAACAUUGACACUAAAGAUAAAGUGGGAGAGAGGUUGAGCAUUAAAUCCACUCAUGCAAAUGAGUUCAAAUCAAAUGCUCCAAUUUUUUUAGCCUUCAUGUUUUGCUUUGAAUUUUCCGUGGUGCAAACCACUAUAAUUAUGGGUCUUGUCUCUUCUGCUUUGAUCAUACUUAAACAAUAUUGAUGAACUUUAAUUUCCUUCCUCUAAACUAAUAGUAAUGCGCUUGCAUACCCUACUUAAUAUGUUAGAGAAGGCUUCAGACCUUUUUCUAUACUAGAAUAUAGUCUUUUUCUAAUAAAAGGUAUUUCUCACAUACCAUGUUAAAAUCUAUAAGAAAGUAUAUAUGUCAUGUUGUUAUAUUAUAUGCAAUAUACCUAUUUCACAGCUAGAUGGCUCAGUGGCUAGAGAGCCAGGCCUGAAGACAUGAGAUCCUGAGUUCAAAUUUGGCCUCAGAUACUUCCUAGCUGUGUGCCCCUGGGCAAGUCACUUACCCCCAGUUGUCUAGACCUUAUUGACCUUCUGCCUUGGGACCAAUACUUAAAGGGUUUAACAUUUUGAAAAAUUAUUUGUGUAAAUGUGAAGCUAUUGCAUAACUUAAAGACAUGCCUCUUUCAUUUCUUAAUCUCAUACCAACUUUUUUGCCAACCUAUUCUGUGCCCACCUUCACAUCGAAGUCAUUAAGUGAGGAUGAUCUUGUCAAGUUUUUUUUUUCUUUUGUUGGUAAAAUGUCCCAUCUCGUCAUUCUUUAUAACUAAUAUUAGCAUGUAAGUGGUGGCAGUCCUCAUGGUGGUCCCUUUGAUGCGCUUAUUGUGAACACUUCAAGAAAGAUGACCAAAUGCUCCAUGCAAUGAUGUUUCUUAUUCUUGGGAACUCAAACCAACACUUUCAUCUCCUUAGGAGAACCUGGGAGCCAUCCUGUUAAGUUAUAACUUUUGUCUUCAGAUUUCAUUUAUGUGAGGAUGUCAAUGUUGAUGUAUUUCAUUUCCUCUAGUAUAAAAUCAACUUAGUUGUUGAGCAAGGAUCUCACACAUGUAAAGCAUCCAUGUGGAAAUUACCUCAUGGUAGCUUCCCUAAUGACUGCUCCUCAUACUACCUCACACCUAGCAGAUUGGCCAAUAUGACAGUAAAGGGAAAUAACUAUUGGUGGGGAUGUGGAAAAAUUGGGACACUAAUGCAUUGUUGGUGGAGUUGUGAAUUGAUCCAACCAUCCUGGAAGGCAAUUUGAAAAGUAUGCCCAAAGGGCUUUAAAAGACUGCCUGCCCUUUGAUCUAGGUACUAGGUCUGUAACCCAAAGAGAUAAAAAAAAAAUUGGUAAAGGAUCUAUUUGUACAAAGAAAGUCAUAGCUGUGCUCUUUGUGGUGGCAAAAUGUUGGAAACUGAGGGAAUGUUCCUCAAUUGGGGAAUGGCUGAACAAAUUGUGGUAUAUGUUGGUGAUGGAAUACUAUUGUGCUGUAAGAAAAGAUGAAUGGGAUGAAUUCAGAAAGAGCUGGAAAGACCUUCAUGAGCUGAUGCAGAGUGAAGUAAACAGAACCAGAAGAAUAUUAUACACAGUAACUGAAACAUUGUGGGACGGUCAAUGUAAUUGAAUUUGCUACUAAUGGCAAUGCAAUGAUCAAGAGCAAUCCAGAGGAACUUAUGAGAAAGAACGCUCUCCACAUCUAGAGAAAGAACUGUGGGAGCAGAAAUGCAGAGGAAAAACAUAUGUUUGAUCCCUUAGAAUAUAUGAUUUGGGGUUUUGGUUUUAAAAGAUUACUCUAUUGCAAAAAUGAAUACUAUGGAAAUAGGUUUUGAGUGAUAAUACAUGUAUAACCCAGUGGAAUUGCUUGUCAGUUCAGGGAAGGGGGGGAAGGAAAAGGGGAGGGAGACAACAUGAAUCAUGUAACUAUGGGGAAAAUAUUUUUUUAAUUAGUUCAUUUAAUUAAUUAGUCUUCUGGUACUGAGUUAUUGCAGACUUAGCUGGACUGAGUAUUGGGCAUUUGAGAAAAGAAAACAAUAGAGCAUUAUUAUUUUACAGAACAUUGAAAACCUGUGGAAGGGGGGGAGAAAAAGAAAGACAAGAAAGCUUGUCAUGAGACUUGCCCAAGUCAUACCAUCCCUAGAAUAUGUAGGGAUGAAACUGUAAGUAGUACAGUAAAAAUAUAUGCAAGUCUUAAUCUUUCAAUAUUUCUAGAGCAAUUAAUGAUAGUGGAAACUCCAUUUUUUGAUGCAGUAUUUGAUAUGCUGGAUGAAGAAACAACCCUUAAGACAAUGAAGUUGAGAAAUAUGCAAGGGAAAUCCAUAUUGAAGGUGAAAUCAUUUUAAAGCUAUUCCUGGAAUAUCACAAGCUCAUCAGAAUCAGAAUUUCAGAUGACUAAUAAAAAGCAGUAGAGAAGUAUAUGGUGCAUGUAAGGAGACUGAAAUGUUACCAAUGAUGACAUUCAGGCUGAGAAGCAGUGUAAAGGAUGUUAGUAAAAUGUGCAUGGACAUGACCAACAAGAUGGAGAACUAGACAUUUUCUCUGAUCCUUAUGACCUCUAAAACUGCUCCAAAAUAGGAAUUAUACUCAACUCUGUUCCAGUCCCUCUACUCCCUUUGCCUUGGAAAACCAAAAGACAGAAGCUGGUUCUAGUGGAAACUAUAACUCGGCAACACACUGAAUGAGGGCAGAUGCCAGAGAUGCCCUUGGCUUGAUGCAAAAAGGACUAGCAUCCACCUGGGUUCAAUUCUUUCCCCACCGAAGCUACUUGGAUGGCCCAGUGAGGGAGGAGGUCAAGACAAUUUUAAGGUCCUCUAGGGAGAUUAUCAUCAAAAAGAAAAAAUUCAGCAAUAGGAGAAUAUAGGGGGGGAAACAGAGAAAUUUCCAAAGAUCUCAGAGGCAAGAAGGCUCAGUUAAAGACCUUGAGCACAAGCAAAUAAACCAGCAGGGAAAAUAUUAACAAAAGGGAAGGUGGCCUCUGGAUCAGCCAAAUAUGAAUAAAUAUUGCAAGACAAAAGGAAACGAGUCAACAGCUGAUAAAGGCAGAGAACCUGUGGGUUCUGAAGAGAGCAUGGAACCCUAGCAGGCUAUACCUGAGGGAUGAAGGUGAGAAAUAAGAAUUGUGAAAGCAGAAAUCAUGGUCUCUAUUGCAGAAAUAAUUAGCAGAAUAGAAAAACUUGAAUACAUGGUAGCAAACCUCACAAAAGAAACAAAACAGCAAUGCACUGAGAAUGUAAAUACACAGAAGUAAAACAUUAUCUGGAAGAAGAGAAGCAAGAAAACUCAUCAAUUUUAAAGAAAAUAUGAUCUCCAUAAGACAAACACCAAUAUUGAAGACAGGAUGUAUAGAGGCCAGUUAAGGAUUCUGAGUCUCUUAGAAAAACAUGGUAGGUGGUUCUGUGAAUAGAGUGCUAGACAUAGAGUUGGGAAGACCAGAAUUCAAAACCAGUCUAAGACGCGCUAGCUGUGUGACCCUGGACAAGUCACUACCUCAGUUUCCUGAGCUCUAAAUGGGAAUAACACCUAGCUUCUAAGGUUUUUUUAAGGAUCAAAUGUGAUAUUCAUAAAGCAUUUGGCAUAGUGGCUGGCACACAGUAGGUGCCUUAUAAAUAUUUUGUUUCCUUCUUUUAUUCCUUUCAAAUGUAAGAAAUUUGCCCAGAACUUCUGAACAAAGAAAAUAAAGUACCAACUGAAAGAAUCCAUGGCAGUGGAUAGAGAGCCAGGCCCAGAGACAGGAGGUAUCCUGGGUUUAAAUCUGGCCUCAGACACUUCCUGGCUGUUUGACCAUGGGCAAGCCACUUAACCCCUAUGCCAACCCUUUAUUGCUCUUCUGCCUUGGAACCAAUGCACAGAACUGAUUCUAUGGUGGAAGAUAAGGGUUUAAAAAAAAAAAACAUCCACAAAUUACCUCCAGAAAAAAAUCUCAUACCAUGAGAUCAAAGACACAUGGUGGUUAGUUUAACAAUUUCAGUGACAACAAAUUCUGUAUAUAACUAGGAGAAAGACCUCAAUUAGAAAAGAAAGGAAGACCAUCAGCAAACAUCAUGUGCAACGGGGAUAAACUAGAAGCCUUCCCAAUAACAUCAGGCAGGAGUCAAACAAUGCCAUUAUCAUCUCUAUUAUUUAACAUUGUACUAGAAACACGCUAGCAGUAGCAAUUAGAGAAGAAAAAGAAAUUGAAGGUAUUAAAAUAGGCAAUGAGGAUACUGGAUGACAUGAUGGUCUACUUAAAGAAUCCUAGAGAAUCAACCUAAAAGCAAGUGGAAAUAAUCAACAACUUUAGCAAAGUUGCAGGAUACAAAAUAAACCCGCAUAAGUCAUCAGCAUUUCUAUAUAUCUCUAACCCAUUUCAGCAGCAGGAAUUAGAAAGAGAAAUUCCAUUUAAAAUCACCAUAGACAAUAUAAAAUACUUAGGAAUCUAUCUCCCGAGACAAACACAGAAACUAUAUGAACACAACUACAAAACACUCUCCACACAACUAAAACUAUAUCUGAGCAAUUGGAAAAGCAUUAACUGCUCAUGGGUAGGAUGAGCAAAGAUAAUAAAAAUGACCAUCCUACCCAAACUUAUUUAUCUAUUUAGUGCCAUACCCAUUGAACUACCAAAAAACUUUUUUACUGAAUUAGAAAAAAACAUAACAAAGUUCAUUUGGAAGAAUAAAGGAUCAAGGAUAUCCAGGGAAAUAAUGGGAAAAAAAUACCAAGGAAGGUGGCCUUGCAGUCCCAGACCUCAAACUAUAUUACAAAGCAGCAGUCAUCAAAACAAUUUGGUACUGGCUAAGAGACAGAAAGGAGGAUCAGUGGAAUAGACUUGGGGUAAAUGACCUCAGUAAGACAGUCUAUGACAAACCCAAAGAUGUGAAGAGGCAUGAAGAGACAAAGGUUUUGUAGGACAAGCCAAGAUGCAAGAGACUAAGCUGGGGACCUGUCUUAUCAAGACGAAGAAUCUAAAAUGAAAUGUUCCCAGGAGGAGUGGAAGUUGAGUUGAUGAGGGGGAGGGGACUGGGAGUGUGACUCUCUCUGGCAGUUGAGGCUGGCAGUUGGGGCUGGCUGAAGACCCUGUUUGUGUUGUUUUGGGGGGCUUUCUGGUCAAGGGGAGACCCCUGCACUCUCUGAGAUUUUGACUGACCAAGAGUUGGGGUUUUUCUGACCACAGAGGGAGGAGAAGGAGAAACUUGGCUUUUAAGUUGGUUGUCUCUCUCUGAGAGUUUAAGCUGGCCAGGAGAAACUGAGAGACCUUGAUGGUGUUGUAAAAGAAGAGAGAAGAUUUUAGCUGUUGUCCUCCAUUUAUCUAACUGUUCCUCUUCUCACAUUUGUUACUGGACUAUUUCCAUAACCCUCUCAAAUUCCCCUUAUAGAUUAGGGAAACCCUCAUCCCACUUUCCUCAGUUUCUCAUCCUGUUAUCCCAAAUAAACCCCUACUUGAAAAAGGAAAAAAAAAGAUCUUUAUAGUUCAUUUAGGGAGGAGGGAAGAAGCCAAAGGCUUCAAGAAGAAUUGGGAGGUGAAGGGGGGCAGGGAGCAGAGGGUUGGAGAAGGGAGUGAGUGAAAGGGAGGAGGAGGUUAGAAAGAUAUACUGAUCCAUCAGCCAUCAGUAGGGAUCAGUAGGCAAACACCAGAGCAUUCCCCAGAGCAGUUCCCCUGUGUAGCAGUUCCCUUGUGUGGCAGCUUCAGGUUCCCCUGUAGCAGCUGCUCUCUAAUCUCAAGCCAGAGCAUUCAGUCACUGCAACAAAGUAAUAGUGUCACCACAGAUUUACACUUCUAUUUCAAGUAGAAAUAGUUUUCCUCAGUUUACCUCUCUAUUUCAAUCAGUUUCACUCAGUGUCACUACAGAUUUGCCACGUCUAUUUCAAGUGGCACCACGGAUUUACACUUCUAUUUCAAAGAUCCCAACUUUUGGGACAAAAAUCCACUAUUUGAUAAAAAUUGCUGGGAAAAUUGGAAGACAGUGUGGGAGAGAUUAGGUUUGGAUCAACACCUCACACCCUACACCAAGAUAAACUCAGAAUGGGUGAAUGAAUUGAACAUAAAGAAGGAAACUAUAAUUAAAUUACGUGAACACAGAAUAGUAUAUAUGUCAGAUCUUCGGGAAAGGAAAGAUUUUAAAACCAAGCAAGAGUUAGAAAAACUCACAAAAUGUAAAAUCAAUAAUUUUGAUUACAUCAAAUUUAAAAGUUUUUGUACAAACAAAACCAAUGCAACCAAAAUCAGAAGGGAAGUAACAAAUUGGGAAACAAUCUUCAUAAUAAAAACCUCUGACAAAGGUCUAAUUACUCAAAUUUACAAAGAGCUAAAUCAAUUGUACAAAAAAUCAAGCCAUUCUCCAAUUGAUAAAUGGGCAAGGGACAUGAAUAGGCGAUUUUCAGUCAAAGAAAUCAAAACUAUUAAUAAGCACAUGAAUAAGUGUUCUAAAUCUCUUAUAAUCAGAGAGAUGCAAAUCAAAACAACUCUGAGGUACCACUUUAUCUAGCAGAUUGGCUAACAUGACAGCAAAGGAAAGUAAUGAAUGGUGGAGGGGAUGUGGCAAAGUUGGGACAUUAAUUCAUUGCUAGUGGAGUGGUGAAUUGAUCUAACCAUUCUGGUGGGCAAUUUGGAACUAUACCCAAAGGGCACUAAAAGACUGUCUGCCUUUGAUCCAGCCAUAGCACUGCUGAGUUUGUUUCCCAAAGGGAUAAUAAAGAAAAAUAUAUAUACAAGAAUAUUCAUAGCUGUGCUCUUUGUGGUGGCAAAAAUUGGAAAAUGAGGGGAUGCCCUUCAAUUGGGGAAUGGCUGAACAAAUUGUGGUACCUGUUGGUGAUGGAAUAUUAUUGUACUCAAAGGAAUAAUAAAGUGGAGUAAUUUCAUGUGAACUGGAACAACCUCCAGGAAGUGAUGCAGAAUGAGCAGAGCAGAACCAGGAGAACAUUGUACACAGAGACUGAGACACUGUGGGACAAUUGAAUGUAAUGGAUUUCUCCAUUAGUGGCACUGCAGUGAUCCUGAAUAACCCAGAGGGAUCUAUGAGAAAGAACACUAUCCACAUUCAGAGGAAAAACUGUGAGAGUAGAAACACAGAAGAAAAGCAACUGCUUGACUACAUGGGUCAAGGAGGAUAUGCUUGGGGAUGUAAGCUCUAAAUGAUCACCCUAGUGCAAACAUCAACAACAUGGUAAUAGGUUCUGAUCAAGGACACAUGUAAUACUCAGUGGAAUUGCACGUUGGCUAUGGGAGGGGUGAGGGUAGGGGAGGGAGGGAUAGAAUAUGAUUCUUGUAACCAAGGAAUAAUGUUCUAAAUUGACUAAAUAAAAUUAAAAAAAAAGGAAAGGAAAGGAAGCUAGAUAAUAAAAGUUUAUUCUGCACACCCUAGAAACUGAAUAAGAAACACACCUAAAAACAAAGACAUAUGUAAUAGAAAUGAGGAGUUUGAACAAAAUUUGCAAGGAACUGAGUAAAUCCAAAAAAGUAGGAGUUUGCAAUCAUGCUAUCAGACAAAGCAAAAACAUAAAUCCCCCAAAUAAAGAUAUAAAUAAGGAAACCAUAUUAUUCUGAAAAGAACUGUAGAGGAUGACAAGCUAAUUAUCAAUAUUAUUAAACAUAUUUUACAAAAGAAGAUAGAUAUCACUAGAAAAGGAGGUGAUUAUAUAACAAGAUAAAUGAUAACAUAUGAGCAACUUGACUUUUGUACCAAUAUCUACAAAAUAUUGAGACCAGUGGGUUAAGAUCUUUGAAGUGUGGGGAUUGGACCUCUUUGGGAAAUUCAUGGAAGAACAUGGAAUAGAAUUGCCUUAGUCAAUAUCAAUAAAUGCUUCUUAAAUGCCUACUAUCUGCCAGGCCCUGUGCCAAGCCUUGGGGAUACAAAAAGAGGCAAAAGAUAGCUCCUACUGUCAAGGAGUUCACAAUCUCAUGGAUGAAUUCAGUCUGUGCCAGUAAAGGAAUUAUCCAUACCAGUGCUGUGAUGGUUCUGUAACCGCGAAAAUGUGGCUUCCAAGACUGAAUUGCCAAAACUGUAAAGGUUUCAGCCAAACUGUAAAGAUAAUUUUUAGUGUCUUGAUUUAUAUUAAAAAUAAGUGGUCACCAUGGGAAAAUUCCCAAAUAUGAAAAUACCCAAGUCAGCUGGGUUUUUAUGGAGAUUUUAAUUAAUACAAAUGAAGGAAUUAAGGGAAGGAGAGAGAGAGGGAGAAAGAGAAAAAUAGUAGAAGCUUUAAGGGAGAGAGAGUCAGUCUUUAUCACUCACCACAAGAUUGUCUCAAGCAAGUUCCAGUCCACUGAAAUCCUCAACUCCUGAACUGAGUUCAGAGCUCCAAUUUAGCUUCCCUAACUGAACUAGCAGCAAACUGAACUGAAUUCUCCUUUUAAAGAAAUUUUCUAUUAUGUCACCUCCCCUAAUUUUUCACAUCUACCAAUCACAGUAGAUGCUUUUACCCAGGACUACCCAUUCUUAGUUCUUACCAUUCUUUAGUUCUCACCUUCUCUGGGUAGAUUAUAUCUUUUGAGUACUUCACAUCUCUUUUGUUAAGCUUGCCUUUUGUAAGUUGCUUGACCUUUUAAUGAUUAAUUUAACUUUUUAUAGGUACUAGCACCCUUUUGUAUUAGAUCUAAAAAUAGACCACCUAGCUUAAGGUUUUUGUUUCACUAUAAGUAUAAGUUAGGGUCUUUCAUUGUUCAAUCAGGAGUUUACAACUUUAUAUUCCCCUAAGUCAGUGUCUGAGCAGGGUGAAGUAAUUUUGAAAGUUCUCAAUACAUUCCUGACCAAGUACCUCCAUUGUUAAAAAUGGAGAAUAGCUUCAUCAAAUCUUCUGAAGUAGAGUCAGAGCAGUUUUAAGAUUCACAGUUCCAUUGAAGUACUAGGAUAUAUAUUGUGAAUUUUAGUUUUACUCCACUCUUCUUAGUCUUUAGAAAUUCUAGCAACCAGGAACGUGUAUACCCCCACUUAAGGAUUGAGUGUAGGAGAGGAAUGCUUAUGACCGGCAUGUGCUAACAAGUGACAAAUCAGAAACAACUGACUGACCCCCUGGGCUGUCCUAAGCUAAGCUUAAGCCACCAUUGGCACAUGUGAGACACAGGAAGUGAUGUAAAGAACUGCCUUUAUAUUUUGCGUCACUUUCUAUGAGAGGGACCCUUGGCAGAAUUGGCCCUGGAACUCAAGCCUGGAGGAGCUCGGCAUGAGACCUCAGACUGCUUUCCUUUUAGAUGGUCAUGUGGUGAGUUAUAAGGCUGACUCCCCUUUCCCUUGGCUUCUGGAGAGGUCCCUUGGCCGAGGCCUCUGAACUCCUGCCUGGCUCAGUCUGUGCCAGAGCAGUUCAAUUCCCUUUUCCUUCUCUCUCUCUUGUUCUUAAUUUCUUCCUUCUAUUGUAAAUAAACCACCAUAAAUUCCAUUCUGACUUGAGUAUUUCAUUGAGAUUUAGAAUUUAAAUCCCUGGCGACCAACUAAAAUUAUAUUCAGUCUCAACCCUAAAAUUUACCCCUUACAAUCUAUCUAUCUAUCUAUCUAUCUAUCUAUCUAUCUAUCUAUCUAUAUGUUAAAGUCGAUAUUACAGCAUCUUUCAUAGCCAUGUCAUCUUGGGCAAGUCAUCUUAUUUCUGUGAUCUUUGGCUUCCUCAGCUGCAACCUAGUGAUAAUUAGUCCAACAAACUUCCUUUAUGGUUGAGAGAAAACAUUGAAAUGCAAAAUAAAUGUAGGUGGUGGUGGUGGUGGUUACUCAUCUCCUAACAUAUUACACCUGAAAGGUCUGAAUGUGUAUAUGAAACACUAUAAACUACCACAAUGCCAUUAUUCUUGCAUGUUGUGGCUUUGUCUCAUCGGUUGUUGUAGCUCAUCUCCUGUAAAUAGAAGUCAUGGAUAUGUGUGGAUACAAAUGCACAUGCACACAUGUGAUUAAAGCAUUGGCUGUCAGUUUCAUGUCAGAUUUUAAAAUGUUUUUAUGAUUUUUUACUGUUCACUGCAAAUUUGUAAGUGUUUCUAUCAGCUUAAUCCUGCAAAUGAAAGCCAAAUAUCUGUUUCUUUUAACUCUUGUAAUUGAUGUCAUCUUCUUCCUAAACAUGAAAGGACACAUUUUUUUUCAGACGUCUGGGACAUGGCUGAACACUUGCACAUGUUUUUCAUCUACUCCCUAUCAGAGAAUGAGCCUUUUGUUAGUAUUCCUCUCUUACUAUCAUCAUUAUAUAAAAAAUAAUUUUAUAUUAUCAGCAUGGAAUCUAGAAGCCCCCAAACUUGUAACUUAGAAAGCCUUAAUGAUGCCCCAGUUUACUUAGCUUGAAGGUGAAAGCCCCAAGUUUGACAUUGUCACAUGAGUUUUUCCCUGAGGGAAGUUCAACUUCCCUAGUCUCAGACUGACAAUAGACCUUAAAGGAGUUUAAGUGGAGAUGACUAAUCCCAUCAGGUGGUAAGUAUCUCUUUUGUCCCACUGGUUUCUCCCCUUUGGCCAAAGCCCUUUACCAAGAUGGCUGUAGCAAAGGAAGGUAAAAGUAGCAAGAGUAUGAUUGACAGGCCUGGAUUCCAAGAGCCACUGGGUCAGGAUUCUAAGCUGUUGAAAGGAGCAGGUUUCCAACUGUCAGUCUGGAGCUGAAAGUGAAGCCUGAAAGGUGAAGAUCUGAUCUCUCCUGGACAUCUUGCAAACAGUCUCUUUGAAUACCAUCAAACACAGGUGAGAGGGAAUUGUCUAUACCCUCUGGUGGACAGAGUGGAAACUUGGAGGAACCUCUAUUUCCUGGGACAUCUAAGGACUCAGCUGGAUUCCUGUACCUGACCCACCAAGGACUCUCUGUGUGUGAUAAAUCUGGUUCCCUGUUGAACUUACCCUUAGGAAACUUAGGUAUUUAGUUUAGGGUAGUUAGAAAGUGAGUUUAAUAACUGGCAUAAGUCAGAUGCAACCCCUUCCCCUUAUCCUCCCUUACCUUUCCCUUCUUUGUUAAUAAAUUAAUUUUAUUUAUAUGUGAUUCUUCCCUUGUGUAUAACCUUCCUUUCCCAUUUCCUAAAAAUCAUAAUAACAUGGCCCAACCCUUGGCUGGGUCUUUCCCUUUUGUGUCCAUUGUAAGGCAUCAGUCCCUCACUGUUAUUUCUGUUUGGGACUCUUCAUUUUCCCUUGUUACCAUUGUAAAGCUAGUCAACUGUCCCUCUCAUCCUCAGUCCUCAUGUUCCCCUAGAAAGGUAUUUAGGCUUCCCAACCUUAAUGGCUCCAUGGAAUUGUCCAAUCUAUCAUGGUUGGGUGUUUCUAGAGAUCAGUGCCCAGAGCAACCAGAGCUCAGUCCUCAGUUCUUAACUCUGUGUAGGUGUGUGGUGCCCAGCUCUGCAUGGAGGCCUAAUUCAGCACUGAACCCCCUUCCUUAAUUAAAGAGUGGCUUUUCUGACUAUUUAAUCUGUUUUUUUUUCAGUUGACAAUAUGAACAUAUUGUGCAUUACAGUUUAUGAAAUGCUUUCACAUUUACUAUUUCAUUUAAUCUUUACAACAUUACUUUGAAGGUGGGGAGGGCAUAUAAUCCCAUUUUAUAGAAGAGAAAAAUGAAACUUAAAGAAAUUGGAUGACUCAAGUUAUAGGAAACAAGACUGAGAUGGAGGUAUAGAGGCCUUAAGCAAUGAGAUGAUGAGUGUGUAUUUUAGUCUGGAGUCAAUAGAGAGCAUUUGAAGACUUUUGAGUAAGAGAGUGAUGCAAUUAGAAUAUUGUUUUAGGAAGUGUCAACAUGGAAUCUAGAAAAGCCCAAACUUGUGGCCUAGAAAGAUUUGAUGAACCCCAGUUUACUUAGCUUAAAAGUUUGACCUUGUCACAAGAGAGUUCCUCCCUGAGGGAAAGUCCUAUUUCACUGGUCUCAAACUAUCAAUAGACUUUAAGAUAGUGGGAAUAGCUAAUCCCAUCAGGUGGUAAAUAUCUUUUGUCCCACUGGUUUCUCCUCUUUGACCAAAGUCCUUUACCAAGGUGUCCCAGCCCUUGGCUGGGUCUUUUCCUUUUGGGUCCAUCAUAAAACAUCAGCCCCUCCCUGUUAUUCCUGUCUGGGACUCCUAAUUUUCCUUUGUUACCAUUGAAAAGUCAAUCAACUAUCCCUGUCAUCCUCAGCCCCCAUGUUCCCCUAGAAAAGUAUAUAAGCUUGCCCACUUUAAUGGCUCCUUGGAGUUGUCAAUCUAAUGAGGUUGGCUCUCCCAGGGGUCUGUGUCCAGAGCAUCCAGAGUUCAAUCCUUGGACUCUGUGUGGGUGUUAGUGCACAGCUCUGUGUGGAGGCUUACUAUUACACUGAACCCCUUUUCCUUGAUUAAAGAGUGAUUUUUCUGACUAUUUAAUAGUCCUGUGUUUUUUUCCAAGUCAAGAGAAGGUCAUUUUGGCAGCUGUGAGAGAAGGGAGAGACUGGAAGCAAAGAGAUUUUUGCCAUAGACUUGAUGAGAGGUGGUAUGGACUAUUGGGAGGUAGUAGGCUGUAAGGGUGGAGGGAAGACAAUUGAUUGGAGAUAGAAUUGACAAGAUUUGCCAACUGAUUAGAUGUGAGGAAUGAGGGAGAUAUAAGAAAGAAUGAUGACUUAGAAGCAGUGAAGUUUGGUGUUCAGUACUUAAUAAUAAGUAGUUUGCCCUUAAAAAAAAAAAAGCAAAGUUGGACUAGAUUAAUUUAUGUUGUAAUAAUUUUUCAGUCACUUCUGAUUUCAUAAUACCAUUUGGGGUCUUCUUGGCAGAGAUACUGGAAAGGUUUGCCAUUUCCUUUUCCAGCUCAUUUUAUAGCUGAGGAAACUCAAGGGAAACAGGGUAAGUUACCCAGGGCCACACAGCUAAUAAUUGUCUGAAUCUGGAUUUGAAUUCAUGUCCUUCUGACUCCAGGCUUGGUGUUCUGUCCACUGCACCACCCAGCUGCCCUAUAUUUGACUAUUUGUCCAUGCUAAUUUUCAAAAGCAUAGUUUAAAGGUAUAAAGAUGGAUGUGAGGUUUCCUUUUCCUUCUAAUACCCCACCCUAAAUAAUCAAAACAAACUUCACUGAAUCAGUACUUAAAAGCAGCAAAAACAGAUAGUAGUCUGAAGUGAAGAGCCAGGGACAAUUAGGGAGAAAGGUUUGUGACUUCCCUGGCCUUAGUCCCACUGCAGGCUCUGCAAGCAAGACCAGCAACCUCACCUUAUUUGAACCUUGGAGCUUGCAUCCCAAAGGAUAUCACUGGAAUCAGCAGGCAGAAGGUCUUUGGAGCAGGCUGCUGACAGAGCUGGGGAUUGAAGGAGUGGACACCACAGCAUCCAUAGGCACCAGGGCCUGAGGGCAAGAUCUCAAGCCUUGCUGCUAAAAAUUGUGGAGACUUUGGAGAACCAUUGAAUGGGGACUAGACACCUGCUCUAUCCUGGGCUGAGGCAAUAAGAGAGCAGGAGUGAGGAAGGAACCAGUGAGUAUGGUUGCUGAGGGACUGGGGCCUUAUCAACUGUGAUCCCUGGUUGAUGCCAUGGGGACUGUCUGCUUUCAGUUGCAGUGGCAGAACUGCCUGCUGGUUCUGGUUGGUGCAGUAGAGAUUGCUUAUGGACUGGGGCUUGAGCUAUUAAAGAGACAGAAGAUCUUGUUUCAAACCCAGAAGCAGUGAAGUAAAAACACCUGCUUCCAAAACAUUUAAGAAAUACAAUAAAGAGCUUUAAAAAGACCUCAAAAACCAAAUAAGAAAAGUUGAGGAAAAAUUAGGAAAAAGAAUAAGAGCAAUAAAAGAUAAUCAAGAAAUAUUAUGAAAGAUCACCCAAAUGGAAAAGAGAUUCAGAAAGUUAACAGAAGUAAUUUAAGAACAAGAAUUAGACAAGGGGAAGAUAAUGAUUUCCUAAAAUAACAAGAAAUAAUUAAGCAAAAUUUAAAGAAUGAAAUAAUAGAAGAGAACAUGAAACAACUUGCCACAAAAACAGUUGACCUGGAAAAUAGAUCAAGAAGAGACUAUAAGAAUAGUUGAAUUCCUAAAACAUUAUGAUUUUUAAAAAAAGAGUUUAGACACCAUACUCCAAUAAAUCAUCCAGAAAAACUGCCUAGAAAUUCUAGAGUCAGAAAGUAAAAUAGAAGUUGAAAGAAUCCACCAAUCACCAUCUCAAAGAUACCCAAAGAUGAAAAUGCAUAAGAACACCAUUACUAAGUUUCAAAGCUCCCAGGUUAAGGAGAAAAUAAGCAACAAAGAAAAAAAAAUCAUUAUAGUGGUACAAUCAGAAUAACACAAGGCUUAGCAGCCACAACAUUAAAAGAAUGCAAUACAUGGAACACGAUAUUUUGUAGAGCAAAAGAACUGGGUUUACAUUCAAGAAAAGCUGAGCAUAAUUAUUCAAGGUAAAAAAUGGAUAUUUAAUGAACUUAAUGGGGUUUCAGCUAUUCCUAGGGGAAAAACCCAGAACUUGGUAAAAAAUUUGAUUUAUAAGAAACAUUCAAGGGUAAUAAUGAAAGACCAAUUAUAAGCAAACCCAAAGGUCAAAUUGAUUGAUUCUUGUAUAGGAAAAUGUCAUCUGUCCCUCCUGGAAAUGUCAUUGUUGCCUGAGUAUUUUGAAGAGGCCUCUAGGGAUGCAUGAUAAGAGGUGAAGGUGAAUGCAGUGGAAUAAACCAAAAUGGUGUGGAGUAGAACUGGAGGUAUUAGGGUGGAACAGCUAUCUCACAUGUAGAAUAAAUGAAUGGAGAAACUGCCAAGGAGAAGGGAAAGAGGAGGGGAGAGCUGGUAGUACAAGAACUCUACUCUCAUCAGAUCUGGGAUAAAGAGAGAACAACAUGCACAUUUAGAAAGGUAAAAAUCUUAAUGUAUAUAAGAACAGAAGGGGAGGAGGAUGGGAUAAGGAAAAGACUGGAAGUCCUCCUGGGGGACUGAGAGACUAAUAGGAGAAAGAGUGAAUUAGGAGAAAGGAGAGCAAGGGGAUAACAAAGAGGGAUACCUAGAGGGGAAGAAAUAGCAAGAGGUAGCGGGGUAAGGUGAGGAAAUAAGGGAGAAACUCAGGACAAGAUAGGGGAGGAAUUUUUAGAACUGAACUCAUAUUAAGAAGUAGGAGGGCAUGGUUGGGGAGAUAAGGAAGGGACUUUUGUAAAGGUGGGUAGAAUAAGAAUUAUGAAGAUUAAAUUAAGUCUCUCCCAUGAUUGUGAAGAUUAAAUUAACUCUCCCACCCAUUUUUAGAUUUAAUUACCAAAAGUAUAAACAUCCCACUUAAUCAUUAAGUGGGAGAGGUCUGUGACCCAUGUGUGUAAUAGUGGGUGAUGAAUCAGAAUCAAACUGACUGCCGCCUGGGCAGUUCUAAGCAAAGCUUCAACUGUAAUUGGUAGACUUAAAAGUGGAGGAAGGCAAACAAAGUGACACAAAAGAUAGUGCCUUUAAAAGGAGUUACAACUUCCUGUGGAGAUUUGGGCUUCUUCUGGAGUUCUGAGUUUGAGUUAGAGGCUGGUGAAGAAUCUGCUGACUGGACCUGAGACCCUAUUCCUGGUAAGACUGUUAUUAAAUUUCUCCCUUUGGAUUGA